CAAGUAAGAAAUGUGGCUUCAACAAGGCUUGCUUUGAGGCUGCUGCGAGGUGCAGAGGCUGUGAAAGCGUAUUGCAGAGCUAGCAAGCUCAUCUCACCAAAUGCUGCAAGGGAGGACAAAAAUUCGCUUACACAGUGCAGCAUUGUGCUGAUAUACAACAAAGGGUGAAUCUUCUUUCAGAAUGACGGUGAGCCAUUUUUCCUGGGCAGAUUUUGAGGGCUGUUGCAUUCAUUCUUGUAUUUCUUCCCAGUCGUUUCGGGUUUGACUGAAACUGGCCGCUCUUAGCGUUGGAUUCCAACAGAAGGAGCGGGUUUUGCUGUAGCCUCUGUCUGACCUUGGGCUACAGUCACUUCAGGAAGUUCCUUGCAAAACCAGAGCUGCACAAACCACCUCCUUCCUUUCUAAUUUGUGCAAGCCCCUAGAAUAUAACUCGGUGACAGGUUUACAUUGGGGUAACCCCAGCUCGUCCUGAAGGAAAGUGUGCAACUGCUUUGGGGAAAAACAAAGUUGCUUAAAAAAUGGUUGCUUUUAUACUCCAAAGCGGAAGGGAAAGUUAUGUGUGUGUUGG
RNAcentral lists this long non-coding RNA (568 nucleotides) under Struthio camelus australis. RNAcentral's name for it is "lncRNA (ENSSCUG00000014036.1)". Lineage: Eukaryota; Metazoa; Chordata; Aves; Struthioniformes; Struthionidae. The record is from RNAcentral.